AUUUCUGUAAUUUAAAUUAAAAUAUUUUAUUUUCAUUAAAAAUAUGAUUUAUUAGAUAGUCCUGAAAUU
Molecule: transfer RNA, 69 nt
Filed under: Empoasca sp. EMHAU_031203
Lineage: Eukaryota; Metazoa; Arthropoda; Insecta; Hemiptera; Cicadellidae
Description: tRNA-Glu
Source: RNAcentral